CUACGGGGCGCAGCAGUGGGGAAUAUUGCACAAUGGGCGCAAGCCUGAUGCAGCCAUGCCGCGUGUAUGAAGAAGGCCUUCGGGUUGUAAAGUACUUUCAGCGGGGAGGAAGGGAGUAAAGUUAAUACCUUUGCUCAUUGACGUUACCCGCAGAAGAAGCACCGGCUAACUCCGUGCCAGCAGCCGCGGUAAUACGGAGGGUGCAAGCGUUAAUCGGAAUUACUGGGCGUAAAGCGCACGCAGGCGGUUUGUUAAGUCGGAUGUGAAAUCCCCGGGCUCAACCUGGGAACUGCAUCUGAUACUGGCCAGCUUGAGUCUCGUAGAGGGGGGUAGAAUUCCAGGUGUAGCGGUGAAAUGCGUAGAGAUCUGGAGGAAUACCGGUGGCGAAGGCGGCCCCCUGGACGAAGACUGACGCUCAGGUGCGAAAGCGUGGGGAGCAAACAGGAUUAGAUACCCUUGUAGUC
RNAcentral lists this ribosomal RNA (464 nucleotides) under uncultured bacterium. Its description in RNAcentral is "partial 16S ribosomal RNA". It matches the Rfam family "Bacterial small subunit ribosomal RNA", at positions 339 to 795 of the family's 1533-position model. The record is from RNAcentral.